GACGAACCGUGCGAACGUUGUUCGGAAUCACUGGGCUUAAAGGGCGCGUAGGCGGGCUCGCAAGUCAGGGGUGAAAGCCCGCGGCUCAACCGCGGAAGCGCCUUUGAUACUGCGGGCCUCGAGGGGGGUAGGGGCGUGCGGAACUUCCGGUGGAGCGGUGAAAUGCGUAGAUAUCGGAAGGAACACCGGUGGCGAAAGCGGCGCGCUGGACCCCUUCUGACGCUGAGGCGCGAAAGCCAGGGGAGCAAACGGGAUUAGAUACCCCGGUAGUCCUGGCCCUAAACGAUGGGUACUAGGUUGUGGACUUACAUGGGUUCACAGCCGAAGCAAAAGUGCUAAGUACCCCGCCUGGGGAGUAUGGUCGCAAGGCUGAA
RNAcentral lists this ribosomal RNA (374 nucleotides) under uncultured bacterium. Its description in RNAcentral is "bacterial SSU rRNA". It matches the Rfam family "Bacterial small subunit ribosomal RNA", at positions 524 to 898 of the family's 1533-position model. The record is from RNAcentral.